AAACCAUGGUGAGGGCACCUUCUCAAUAGAUCCUUGUAUCUCUCCUAUGCAUCGUAAAGUGUUUCUAGGUCCAUCUGCACAAAGAAGAAAUACCAUUGCGUAAUUU
RNAcentral lists this small nucleolar RNA (106 nucleotides) under Gossypium arboreum. RNAcentral's name for it is "Plant small nucleolar RNA R71". It matches the Rfam family "Plant small nucleolar RNA R71". From Rfam's summary of the family: R71 is a member of the C/D box family of snoRNAs containing the C (UGAUGA) and D (CUGA) box motifs. Multiple nearly identical copies of this snoRNA have been identified in Arabidopsis, and it is thought to function as a 2'-O-ribose methylation guide for 18S ribosomal RNA. The record is from Rfam by way of RNAcentral. Lineage: Eukaryota; Viridiplantae; Streptophyta; Magnoliopsida; Malvales; Malvaceae.